UACAGAGGUCCCAAGCGUUGUUCGGAUUCACUGGGCGUAAAGGGUGCGCAGGUGGCCAGGCAAGUUCGAUGUGAAAGCCCCGGGCUUAACCCGGGAAUGGCAUUGAAAACUGCAUGGCUGGAGGAUCGGAGGGGGGACUGGAAUUCUUGGUGUAGCAGUGAAAUGCGUAGAUAUCAAGAGGAACACCAGUGGCGAAGGCGAGUCCCUGGACGAUACCUGACACUGAGGCACGAAAGCUAGGGGAGCAAACAGG
Molecule: ribosomal RNA, 253 nt
Filed under: uncultured bacterium
Lineage: Bacteria
Description: partial 16S ribosomal RNA
Rfam family: Bacterial small subunit ribosomal RNA
Source: RNAcentral